CCUACGGGCGGCUGCAGUGAGGAAUAUUGGUCAAUGGGCGCGAGCCUGAACCAGCCAAGUCGCGUGAGGGAUGAAGGUUCUAUGGAUCGUAAACCUCUUUUAUAAGGGAAUAAAGUGUGGGACGUGUCCUAUUUUGUAUGUACCUUAUGAAUAAGGAUCGGCUAACUCCGUGCCAGCAGCCGCGGUAAUACGGAGGAUCCGAGCGUUAUCCGGAUUUAUUGGGUUUAAAGGGUGCGUAGGCGGCCUUUUAAGUCAGCGGGGAAAUUCUGUGGCUCAACCAUAGAACUGCCGUUGAAACUGGUGGGCUUGAGUAUGUGUGAGGCAGGCGGAAUGCGUGGUGUAGCGGUGAAAUGCGUAGAUAUCACGCAGAACCCUGAUUGCGAAGGCAGCCUGCCAGGCCAUAACUGACGCUGAUGCACGAAAGCGUGGGGAUCAAACAGGAUUAGAUACCCCAGUAGUC
This 460-nucleotide ribosomal RNA is filed under the name uncultured bacterium. RNAcentral's name for it is "partial 16S ribosomal RNA". It matches the Rfam family "Bacterial small subunit ribosomal RNA", at positions 338 to 795 of the family's 1533-position model. The record is from RNAcentral.